This 834-nucleotide long non-coding RNA is filed under the name Ictidomys tridecemlineatus (thirteen-lined ground squirrel). RNAcentral's name for it is "lncRNA (ENSSTOG00000032706.1)". Lineage: Eukaryota; Metazoa; Chordata; Mammalia; Rodentia; Sciuridae. The record is from RNAcentral.
ACAAUUUUAACAAUAGGUAAGCUCUUGUCUUCUUUUUGCCCUCUGGUUUCAGGCUAAAGGAGAUCCAAAUGAGUGAAUAUGAUGCUGCAACCUAUGAAAGAUUUUCAGGUGCUGUUCGGCGACAGGUGCAGUCCCUCCGAAUCAUCUUGGAUAAUUUACAGGCUAAAGGUAAAGAAAGGCAGUGGCUAAAACACCAAGCUACUGGAGAACUAGAUGAUGCCAAGAUCAUUGAUGGGCUGACUGGAGAAAAAACCAUCUACAAACGUCGGGGUGAGCUGGAGCCACAACUGGGGAGCCCACAAGAGAAACCCAAGCGUCUGCGCCUGGUGGUAGAUGUGUCUGGCAGCAUGUAUCGCUUCAAUGGAGUGGAUGGCCGGCUUGAGCGCUCGAUGGAGGCCGUGUGUAUGGUCAUGGAAGCUUUUGAGAACUAUGAGGAGAAAUUCAAGUAUGACAUCGCUGGACACUCUGGAGAUGACUACAAUAUUGCACUAGUUUCAAUUAACAAAAUCCCCAAGAACAACAAACAAAGACUAGAAAUUCUAAAGACAAUGCAUGCCCACUCUCAGUUCUGCAUGAGUGGAGACCACACGUUAAUGGGGACAGAACAUGCUAUCAAGGAAAUUGUCAAAGAAGAGGCUGAUGAGUACUUUGUCAUAGUCUUAAGUGAUGCAAAUCUGUCACGAUAUGGAAUAAAACCUGCCACAUUUGCCCAAAUCCUUACAAGUGACCCUCAAGUAAAUGCUUUUGCCAUUUUUAUUGGAUCAUUGGGUGAUCAAGCAACCAGGUAAGUGUCAUCUCAGGACACUGCAAAAGGCAGGCAUAGAUAGAAUGAGU